RNAcentral lists this non-coding RNA (24 nucleotides) under Arabidopsis thaliana (thale cress). The record is from RNAcentral. Lineage: Eukaryota; Viridiplantae; Streptophyta; Magnoliopsida; Brassicales; Brassicaceae.
AUCAAACUUGAUGGAACCAAGCGA